CAUGCAUUAUCGCCAUAUUGUGAUGCACUAUUUGUUGAUAUUAAAUAUUGCUUGAUUACUUGUGCUGUGAUAUUGUUGUGCCUUGUUUGUGUGGAAUUAGGAUGAAGUGGGUCACCAUGGGUUUGUGAGACUGUUACUGUAUAUGGAUCUUGAUACUGAUUACUGUUAGCCGGGUAAAUGGGAGAUCGGCGCCCCCGUGUGCACCUACUGUUACCGUUACUGUUAACCACAAGUUGGCUUCUUUAUUUGGGCGCACCGGAUAAUCUAGGUUUGAUCGCAGCCCGCAGGGUGGCCUCCUGUUGUGAGCGCCUGAUGAUCUAGAUUUGAAGGAGACGACCGGGUUGCUUCCUGUUGGUAU
RNAcentral lists this long non-coding RNA (358 nucleotides) under Jatropha curcas. RNAcentral's name for it is "long non-coding RNA (JCUR_LNC000618)". Lineage: Eukaryota; Viridiplantae; Streptophyta; Magnoliopsida; Malpighiales; Euphorbiaceae. The record is from RNAcentral.